Molecule: ribosomal RNA, 245 nt
Filed under: uncultured bacterium
Lineage: Bacteria
Description: partial small subunit ribosomal RNA
Rfam family: Bacterial small subunit ribosomal RNA
Source: RNAcentral
AGAAUCAACGCUGGCGGCGUGCCUAACACAUGCAAGUCGAACGAGAAAGUGGAGCAAUCCAUGAGUAAAGUGGCGCACGGGUGAGUAACACGUGACUAACCUACCCUUGAGUGGGGAAUAACUUCGGGAAACCGAGGCUAAUACCGCAUAACACCUGCGGGUCAAAGGAGCAAUUCGCUUAAGGAGGGGUCGCGGCAGAUUAGUUAGUUGGCGGGGUAAUGGCCCACCAAGACAGUGAUCUGUAU